GACAAAUUUACCAUCGGCUUAGGAGAAUUUCAAUGCUACUCGCCUCAGGUCCUUUCUCUGAGAAUGAUAGUUUAACUCAUUGGUUCUUAUCCUCAAAAGCAUUUUUUUUUUAUAAAAAGUAAAAUUAAUUAAGAAGUAGGUAGUCUACAAUAUGACCUGUGCAGGUCAUCAUACUAAAUGGAUAGUAAGUCCAAUUGACCGCAAUUGUCUUCCCCUAGUAGCAGUCCAAUUGACUGCCCCAUAACAUUCCCUGGUAGCAGCCCAAGUGACUGCCCUAUUACAUUCCCAGAAGCAGUAUAUAAACAAACAAAAGAUUAGAAUUUUGAAGUGUAGAAACAGAUGUCAGCCAUAAAAUUCCUAAUCCCAUGGUGGAGUUUGAUCAUUAGGAGGCAUUCUUUGAUGAUCGUCGAGUCAGUUUCAUGGAUGAGAAACAUGUCCAUUAGCUAUAAUGUCUUUAUGGAGGCACUACAGUAAUGGAUAAUAAACUUGAAGAAAUUUUUAGGCACGUAUCCAGAAGAUAGCUUUGUUGGAUAUCUAGUAGUCUGUUUGAUAAAUUCAGUUGGUUAUCUAGUGUCUGAUUGCUUAUGAUUCCUUAUAAUGGAUGCAACAUGCAACUGGUGGAAAAAUUGUUUCAGGUAGAUACUAGGAAAUUAUGCAUUGUCAGUUCUUUUGCUAUUUUGUUGCUACUACUUUUCUGAAACUGUAUAACAAUUAUUAAUAUUCACCAGGAAUAGUGCUUUAUGAGAUAAAAAUGCAGCUUCAAGAUACUGAUAACCAGCUUUCUACUUGGGCUCCUAAUCAAGUUAGUCCAUGCACAUGGAGAAGCGUGCAGUGUGACGAUAGCAAUAUAAAUGUCAUUCAAUUGAUGCUGCCUUCAAUGGGAUUCAAGGGAACCCUGUCGCCUAUAGUUGGAGAACUUGUAUAUCUUGAAGUAUUGGAGCUCUCGGGUAACAAUAUAACAGGUAAUAUUCCUGGAGAGCUAGGAAACCUAUCAAGGUUGACGAGCCUGAAAUUACAGAAUAAUCAGUUUACUGGAGAGAUACCAGCAUCCCUUGGCAGGCUUCCUAAACUAAAAUUUAUGGAUUUAAGUGAAAAUAAUUUAAAUGGAAAAAUUCCUGAUUCCUUGUCAUCCCUUGGAAGCUUGACUGACAUAUUGGUUCAUUUACUCUGUGUUGGCAGUAAUCUUGCUUACAACAAACUCACUGGUGGUGUACCCAAGCAGCUAUAUCAAGUGACCAAAUUCAAUUUUACAGGUAAUAAUAUUAGUUGCGGUGCACACUUCUUGAAUCAAUGUGAAUCCGACUUACUUAAUCAAGGAGGAUCUCAUAAUUCAAAGAGAACAUUGUUGCUCGGAGGUAUUGGAGGAGGCAUAGGGCUCGUAUUUGUGACUGUUAUAUUUCUUCUUUGGAGAAGCAGGAAGAAGGAUUAUCUACAUGAUUUGUUUGUUGAUGUUGCAGGUGAAGCAGACCACAAAAUCGAAUUUGGACAAUUGAAGAGGUUUUCAUGGAGGGAAUUACAAAUUGCAACUGGUGACUUCAACGAGAAAAAUGUUCUUGGACAGGGUGGUUUCGGCAAGGUAUACGUAGGAGUACUUUCAGACGAUUCCAAAGUAGCCAUAAAACGGCUAACUGAUCAUGGCAAUCGUGCUGGGGAAGAUGCUUUUUUACGUGAAGUUGACCUAAUAAGUGUUGCUGUUCACAAAAAUCUUUUGCGGUUGAUUGGUUUCUGUACGACACCUACAGAACGACUUCUUGUUUAUCCUUAUAUGCAAAAUUUGAGCGUUGCCUAUCAGUUACGAGAACUUAAACCUGGUGAGCCAGUGUUAGAUUGGCCAAGAAGGAAACAAGUGGCUAUGGGCACAGCACAUGGACUGGAAUACCUUCAUGAACAUUGCAAUCCCAAGAUUAUACACCGUGAUGUAAAAGCUGCAAAUAUCUUGCUUGAUGAGAACUUUGAAGCGGUUGUUGGUGACUUUGGCUUGGCCAAGUUGGUGGAUGUGAGGAAGACUUCGGUGACAACUCGAGUUCGGGGGACAAUGGGCCACAUAGCACCCGAGUAUCUUUCGACUGGAAAGUCCUCAAACAAGACAGAUGUUUUUGGUUACGGAAUCAUGCUCCUUGAGCUUGUCACAGGACAGCGUGCUAUAGAUAUUUCGCUAUUGGAUGGAGAUGUGUUAUUACUUGACAAAGUGAAAAAGCUUUGGCGGGAAAAUCAACUCGAACUCAUUAUUGACCCCAACCUAGACAGGAAUUACGACAUUCUGGAAGUCGAAAAGUUGUUCCAAAUCGCUCUUCUAUGCACACAAGCAUCACCGGAAGACCGUCCGAUCAUGUCAGAUGUAAUCCGGAUGCUAGAAGGUGAAGGCUUGACGGAGCGGUGGGAGCAGUUGCAACAAGUUGAGGUGACUCAAAAGCAGGACUACCAGAGGAUACAAAAGAGAUUGAAUUGGGACGAUGACACAUCGUAUAACCAGGAAGCUAUCGAAUUGUCUGGUGCAAGAUGAUGUGUGGAGACCUGUAACUACUAGGGUUUCCGCCAUCUCCGGUGCAACUCCAUGAGGGGUAGACCUUCAAUUUGAACUGACAAAGGGAAAAUAUGGAGUCAUUCAUGUGAUUGACUUCUGUUGCUUCCUCCAAGAAAGUUAAAGUUCUUUGGCAAGAGAAGUCACAUAGCAAAACACAGCUUAACCAGGAAAAGCAACACAUGAUGACAUAGAAUUAUAUUAGCAUCUCCAAGUCCCCCAUUACCUCCACAGUUCUUGGGAUGUAAUCAAUACUUGUCUCACGGCAGAUUAAGCUGUACUAAC
Musa acuminata subsp. malaccensis (wild Malaysian banana) is the source of this 2806-nucleotide non-coding RNA. Lineage: Eukaryota; Viridiplantae; Streptophyta; Magnoliopsida; Zingiberales; Musaceae. The record is from RefSeq and is a predicted model, not a curated record.